RNAcentral lists this ribosomal RNA (422 nucleotides) under uncultured prokaryote. Its description in RNAcentral is "bacterial SSU rRNA". It matches the Rfam family "Bacterial small subunit ribosomal RNA", at positions 355 to 774 of the family's 1533-position model. The record is from RNAcentral.
UGAGGAAUAUUGGUCAAUGGGCGAGAGCCUGAACCAGCCAAGUAGCGUGAAGGAUGACUGCCCUAUGGGUUGUAAACUUCUUUUAUAAAGGAAUAAAGUCGGGUAUGCAUACCCGUUUGCAUGUACUUUAUUAAUAAGGAUCGGCUAACUCCGUGCCAGCAGCCGCGGUAAUACGGAGGAUCCGAGCGUUAUCCGGAUUUAUUGGGUUUAAAGGGAGCGUAGAUGGAUGUUUAAGUCAGUGGUGAAAGUUUGCGGCUCAACCGUAAAAUUGCAGUUGAUACUGGAUAUCUUGAGUGCAGUUGAGGCAGGCGGAAUUCGUGGUGUAGCGGUGAAAUGCUUAGAUAUCACGAAGAACUCCGAUUGCGAAGGCAGCCUGCUAAGCUGCAACUGACAUUGAGGCUCGAAAGGGUGGGUAUCAAACA